RNAcentral lists this ribosomal RNA (518 nucleotides) under uncultured bacterium. Its description in RNAcentral is "bacterial SSU rRNA". It matches the Rfam family "Bacterial small subunit ribosomal RNA", at positions 288 to 799 of the family's 1533-position model. The record is from RNAcentral.
AACUGUGAGAGCAUGGCCCCCCCACACGGGUACUGAGACACGGACCCGACUCCUACGGGAGGCAGCAGUAAGGAAUAUUGGACAAUGGGCGGAAGCCUGAUCCAGCCAUGCCGCGUGAAGGAAGAAGGCGCUCAGCGUUGUAAAACUUCUUUUAAAUGGGAACAAUAACUCCGACGCGCUCGGGGCUUGAGGGUACCAUUAGAAUAAGCACCGGCUAACUCCGUGCCAGCAGCCGCGGUAAUACGGAGGGUGCAAGCGUUAUCCGGAAUCACUGGGUUUAAAGGGUGCGUAGGCUGUUUGAUAAGUCAGUUGUGAAAUACCCCGGCUUAACCGGCGGUCGUGCGAUUGAUACUGUCAGACUUGAAUCAGGUUGAGGUAGGCGGAAUGUGGCAUGUAGCGGUGAAAUGCAUAGAUAUGCCAUAGAACACCGAUUGCGAAGGCAGCUUGCUGGACCUAGAUUGACGCUGAGGCACGAAAGCGUGGGAGCAAACAGGAUUAGAUACCCUGGUAGUCCACCG